Molecule: transfer RNA, 69 nt
Filed under: Pisione sp. YZ-2018
Lineage: Eukaryota; Metazoa; Annelida; Polychaeta; Phyllodocida; Pisionidae
Description: tRNA-Ile
Source: RNAcentral
GGUGUUGCGCCGGGCUUGAACGGAUAACUCUGAUGACGUUAAUCACGAGACAUAAAAUCUCCAUCACCU